This is a long non-coding RNA of Raphanus sativus (radish), 818 nucleotides long. RefSeq lists it as uncharacterized. The record is from RefSeq and is a predicted model, not a curated record. The transcript has 3 exons. NCBI's taxonomy places the organism in Eukaryota, Viridiplantae, Streptophyta, Magnoliopsida, Brassicales, Brassicaceae.
AAUCCAAAGAGAAUAUACUCCUAAUUAUACCAAAACUCGGUUCGCAAGGCAUAUCUUUAUAAAUAUCUUUAAACGAAAAUCUUUAAUAUCCAUGUAUCCUCUUUAAACCUAUUUAUUUUGCUAUAUAUACUAUCUAAGCGACACAUUCAAUCUAAACUAAAGCACACAACUUAAGCAAACAAAAUAAAUGCUACACCAAAGUUAUCAUAUACAUGUCCGAUAUCAAGCUUUACAAAACUGAAUGGUGGAUCGCAGUGAAAGUUGUUCACACCAGAUAACAAUUCAGUGAACAAUUUGGUGAGACAUUGGAACUCAUUUUCUCUGACAAGAAGGAUCAAAAAAUCAUGCAUCAUGCAAAAAACUACUUGCUUAGUUUGGGCAGGGACUUCCAUGUGGGUGAUUGGAAAAACAGAGAAUUAUUUCCACUAAGUGCAGCAGCUGGUGGAUACUAACCUACCACUCACGUUAUAAAAUGGGGUUUAUGAAGUUCACCUCCAUUACUCCAUAUAAAUUCAGUAAUAUGGUGUUGGCCCAUUCGGGACCCACCACCUAGGUCCGGCGCCAGCCUGCGUCUGUACCGGUUAAGGCCCUGGACACGCCUUCCCGCCCGAGUUCGAACCCGCGUUCCCUCAGCCGAAGCCUCGGGGUACCACUGGACUAACUCGUCCGGGUUCUAGUAUGACUUAUCAUCCUGAAACUUUCGCGUUCUUCCUAAUUCGAACAAGUUAAUUUGUGUCAGUCUCACUGGUUAAUUAUAUCCAUCAGGGGAUAAAUGAUUAACUAGUUGUUGAAUGGGUGAUUUUACUUAAUAUUCAUAA